Molecule: ribosomal RNA, 735 nt
Filed under: uncultured archaeon
Lineage: Archaea
Description: bacterial SSU rRNA
Rfam family: Archaeal small subunit ribosomal RNA
Source: RNAcentral
UUGCUAUCGGUGUCCGACUUAGCCAUGCGAGUUGUACGUAUAACGUAGCAAACUGCUCAGUAACACGUGGCCAAACUGCCCUAUGGACUGGGAUAACCUCGGGAAACUGAGGCUAAUCCCGGAUAGUACAUCCAGCCUGGAAGUGGCGGAUGUAUGAAAUGCUCCGGCGCCAUAGGAUGUGGCUGCGGCCGAUUAGGUAGACGGUGGGGUAACGGCCCACCGUGCCGAUAAUCGGUACGGGUCAUGAGAGUGAGAACCCGGAGACGGACUCUGAGACACGAGUCCGGGCCCUACGGGGCGCAGCAGGCGCGAAACCUUUACACUGCACGCCAGUGCGAUAGGGGGACACCGAGUGCGAGGGCAUAGAGCCCUCGCUUUUGUAGACCGUAAGGAGGUCUACGAAUAAGGGCUGGGCAAGACCGGUGCCAGCCGCCGCGGUAACACCGGCAGCCCAAGUGAUGGCCGAUAUUAUUGGGCCUAAAGCGUCCGUAGCUGGCCGCGCAAGUUCGUCGGGAAAUCCACUCGCUUAACGAGUGGGCGUCCGGCGAAAACUGUGCGGCUUGGGACCGGAAGAUCCAAGGGGUACGUCCGGGGUAGGAGUGAAAUCCCGUAAUCCUGGACGGACCACCGAUGGCGAAAGCACCUUGGAAGGACGGAUCCGACAGUGAGGGACGAAAGCUAGGGUCUCGAACCGGAUUAGAUACCCGGGUAGUCCUAGCCGUAAACGAUGCUCGC